Molecule: ribosomal RNA, 262 nt
Filed under: uncultured bacterium
Lineage: Bacteria
Description: partial 16S ribosomal RNA
Rfam family: Bacterial small subunit ribosomal RNA
Source: RNAcentral
ACUCCUACGGGAGGCAGCAGUGGGGAAUAUUGGACAAUGGGCGAAAGCCUGAUCCAGCCAUGCCGCGUGAGUGAUGAAGGCCCUAGGGUUGUAAAGCUCUUUCAACGGUGAAGAUAAUGACGGUAACCGUAGAAGAAGCCCCGGCUAACUUCGUGCCAGCAGCCGCGGUAAUACGAAGGGGGCUAGCGUUGUUCGGAAUUACUGGGCGUAAAGCGCACGUAGGCGGAUUGUUUAGUUAGGGGUGAAAUCCCAGGGCUCAACC